AUACGGAGGGUGCAAGCGUUACUCGGAAUCACUGGGCGUAAAGCGCGCGCAGGCGGUCUUUUAAGUUGGAUGUGAAAGCCUACAGCUCAACUGUAGAACUGCAUCCAAAACUAUUAGACUAGAGUCUGGGAGGGGAAGAUGGAAUUAGUUGUGUAGGGGUAAAAUCCGUAGAGAUAACUAAGAAUACCAAAAGCGAAGGCGAUCUUCUGGAACAGUACUGACGCUGAGGCGCGAAAGCGUGGGGAGCAAACAGGAUUAGAAACCCCAGUAGUCC
This 274-nucleotide ribosomal RNA is filed under the name uncultured bacterium. RNAcentral's name for it is "partial 16S ribosomal RNA". It matches the Rfam family "Bacterial small subunit ribosomal RNA", at positions 523 to 796 of the family's 1533-position model. The record is from RNAcentral.